RNAcentral lists this ribosomal RNA (591 nucleotides) under uncultured Candidatus Pelagibacter sp. Its description in RNAcentral is "bacterial SSU rRNA". It matches the Rfam family "Bacterial small subunit ribosomal RNA", at positions 8 to 644 of the family's 1533-position model. The record is from RNAcentral. Lineage: Bacteria; Pseudomonadati; Pseudomonadota; Alphaproteobacteria; Candidatus Pelagibacterales; Candidatus Pelagibacteraceae.
AGAGUUUGAUCCUGGCUCAGAACGUACGCUGGCGGCACGCCUAACACAUGCAAGUCGAACGAAGUAGCAAUACUUAGUGGCAGACGGGUGAGUAACAUGUGGGUAUCUACCCUUUGGCCUGGAAUAACACGAGGAAACUUGUGCUAAUACCGGAUAAGUCUUUACGGAGAAAGCUUUAUGCACCAUUGGAUGAGCCUGCACUUGAUUAGUUUGUUGGUAGGGUAAUGGCCUACCAAGACUAUGAUCAAUAGCUGAUUUGAGAGGAUGAUCAGCCACAUUGGGACUGAGACACGGCCCAAACUCCUACGGGAGGCAGCAGUGGGGAAUCUUGCACAAUGGAGGAAACUCUGAUGCAGCGAUGCCGCGUGAGUGAAGAAGGCCCUUGGGUUGUAAAGCUCUUUCGUCGGGGAAGAAGAUGACUGUACCCGAAUAAGAAGGUCCGGCUAACUUCGUGCCAGCAGCCGCGGUAAUACGAAGGGACCUAGCGUAGUUCGGAAUUACUGGGCUUAAAGAGUUCGUAGGUGGUUGAAAAAGUUGGUGGUGAAAUCCCAGAGCCUAACUCUGGAACUGCCAUCAAAACUUUUCAGCUAG